AGCAGCCGCGGUAAUUCCAGCUCCAAUAGCGUAUAUUAAAGUUGUUGCAGUUAAAAAGCUCGUAGUUGAACUUCGGGGUUUACCCAUUGGUCAGGCUUAAUUGCCUGUACUGGUGAGAUAAAUCUCUACCUUCUGAGGAACUUUCAUGCCAUUUAUUUGGUGUGAUGGGAAAUCAGGACUGUUACUUUGAAAAAUUAGGGUGUUUAAAGCAGGCUAACGUCUGAAUACAUUAGCAUGGAAUAAUGAAAUAGGACGGAUUGAUUCUAUUUCGUUGGUUUCUAGGAUCACCGUAAUGAUUAAUAGGGAUAGUUGGGGGCAUUAGUAUUCAAUUGUCGGAGGUGAAAUUCUUGGAUUUAUUGAAGACUAACUACUGCGAAAGCAUUUGCCAAGGAUGUUUCAUU
This 401-nucleotide ribosomal RNA is filed under the name uncultured Diversispora. RNAcentral's name for it is "SSU rRNA". It matches the Rfam family "Eukaryotic small subunit ribosomal RNA", at positions 569 to 974 of the family's 1831-position model. Lineage: Eukaryota; Fungi; Glomeromycota; Glomeromycetes; Diversisporales; Diversisporaceae. The record is from RNAcentral.